AAUCAACGCUGGCGGCGUGCCUCAGACAUGCAAGUCGAACGCGAAAGUCCCCUUCGGGGGAUAAGUAGAGUGGCGCACGGGUGAGUAACACGUAGGUAAUCUACCUUCGGAUGGGGAAUAACAACCGGAAACGGUUGCUAAUACCGCAUAAGGCAGCGGCACCUAAUGGUGACAGUUGUUAAAGCGGGGGAUCGAAAGACCUCGCGUCUAAAGAGGAGCCUGCGGCGGAUUAGCUAGUUGGAAGGUAAUGGCUUACCAAGGCUACGAUCCGUAACCGGCCUGAGAGGGCGGUCGGUCACACUGACACUGACAUACGGGUCAGACUCCUACGGGAGGCAGCAGUCGGGAAUUUUGGGCAAUGGGCGAAAGCCUGACCCAGCAACGCCGCGUGAAGGAUGAAAUCCCUCGGGAUGUAAACUUCGCAAGAACGGGAAGAAUAAGUAGGGGACAAUACCCCUAUGAUGACGGUACCGUUUGUAAGCUCCGGCUAACUCCGUGCCAGCCG
This 505-nucleotide ribosomal RNA is filed under the name uncultured bacterium. RNAcentral's name for it is "bacterial SSU rRNA". It matches the Rfam family "Bacterial small subunit ribosomal RNA", at positions 32 to 514 of the family's 1533-position model. The record is from RNAcentral.